GCAGUAGCCGCGGUAAAACGAAGGGUGCAAGCGUUAAUCGGAAUUACUGGGCGUAAAGCGUGCGUAGGCGGUGAGUUAAGUCUGCUGUGAAAUCCCCGGGCUCAACCUGGGAAUGGCAGUGGAUACUGGCUCGCUAGAGUGUGUCAGAGGAUGGUGGAAUUCCCGGUGUAGCGGUGAAAUGCGUAGAGAUCGGGAGGAACAUCAGUGGCGAAGGCGGCCAUCUGGGACAACACUGACGCUGAGGCACGAAAGCAUGGGGAGCAAACAGGAUUAGAUACCCCGGUAGUCCCUGUCUCUUAUAC
This 302-nucleotide ribosomal RNA is filed under the name uncultured bacterium. RNAcentral describes it as "partial 16S ribosomal RNA". It matches the Rfam family "Bacterial small subunit ribosomal RNA", at positions 508 to 807 of the family's 1533-position model. The record is from RNAcentral.